This 252-nucleotide ribosomal RNA is filed under the name uncultured bacterium. RNAcentral describes it as "partial 16S ribosomal RNA". It matches the Rfam family "Bacterial small subunit ribosomal RNA", at positions 524 to 776 of the family's 1533-position model. The record is from RNAcentral.
UACAGAGGUCCCGAGCGUUGUUCGGAUUUAUUGGGCGUAAGGGUGCGUAGGUGGCAAAGUAAGUUGGAUGUGAAAUCCUGGGGCUUAACCUCAGAAUUGCAUUCAAUACUGCUUAGCUAGAGAGCUGUAGAGGAGACUGGAAUUUACGGUGUAGCAGUGAAAUGCGUAGAUAUCGUAAGGAACGCCAGUGGCGAAAGCGAGUCUCUGGGCAGCAUCUGACACUGAGGCACGAAGGCCAGGGGAGCAAACGGG